RNAcentral lists this transfer RNA (75 nucleotides) under Modestobacter marinus. RNAcentral's name for it is "tRNA-Pro". It matches the Rfam family "tRNA". Rfam says of the family: Transfer RNA (tRNA) molecules are approximately 80 nucleotides in length. Their secondary structure includes four short double-helical elements and three loops (D, anti-codon, and T loops). The record is from RNAcentral. Lineage: Bacteria; Bacillati; Actinomycetota; Actinomycetes; Geodermatophilales; Geodermatophilaceae.
CGGGGUGUAGCGCAGCUUGGUAGCGCACCUGCUUUGGGAGCAGGGGGCCGCAGGUUCAAAUCCUGUCACCCCGAC